AUACUCCUGCCCCUGCAGAAGUCGCUCACCAUUUUAUUUUGCCUUCUCCCUCAUGCUAUCCUUGAGUUGCGUUCUUGUCACGUGUCCUUUCCACUUGUUACCUCAAGCAGCCCAUAUUGCCACGGCUAUUGUUUGGUUAUCGGGUCUGCCUCGCGAGUCAUAGUGCAUGCUAGUGCUAUUUAUAUCGUGUUACCGUUAUUGUUAUCUUAUCGGGUUAUCAGUUGGGAAUCAUGACACAUGGGUUAUGGAUAUAUCUGUUGAGGCUAUCAUGGUUACUUGUUAAUAAUUGUCAGCGGAGACAUCGGUGGGUCAGUUGCUCGUUUUAUGACGGCUCACUUGUGUUUCUUUAAAGCUUAAGACCCGAGUUCUUGUUAUCUGUUUCGAGACUGAGCGCUCUAACCACACGUGGGUAUGCUUCUGGGUCUCCCCUCGACCACUGCCGGAAUCUACAGCUUUGUCCAGUGGCCACAACUAGUUUGCAAUGUUUUACCAUUUGUCGUUCGCGUGCAUGCCAGCUUGUUACUUAUUUACUUUGGGAAGCCCCUGGGUGCCUUGUAUCCCUUGUUUCUGGUAUGCACGUAUAGGUGCGGCACGAGCGUUUAUCGCGUGCUGAAGCGGGUCAUUCGCCCCAGUGUGUGUUUUGACCCUCGGAAGUCGUGGUCGCAAACAGCUAGGUCCGUCUCGGAGAUACGGCCGGACUUCGAUUCGGGUUCAACUUGGUUAGGUGGCUUCCUGGACAUUGUUGUCGUGAAGGAGAGUGCGAGUCGUGAUAUCCACCUGUCGCAAGUGGGUUGAUCGUGCGUGUGGGCACAUUUGGGCACCCCUGCAGGGUUAAAUCUUAUCGAUAAGCCGCGUCCGCGGUUAUGGACGACUUGGAGCUGUAUGACUCGACCAUAGACAACUUACACCUGUUGUUUUCCAUACUAAUAACUUGCGUAGUAAGUUAGCACAACUUAAAUAAUAACUGGUUAAAACUUGUCAACCGUGUGAGUGCCCUUGUAAGUACUUCCUUGCGAGAGGGGAACACGUCGGCUGAGUUAUGUUUGCAGAGUAUAGAACUGUUAGUUUAUGCGCUCUCUCAUCUUCUCUGAUUAGACGACUGUUGUAGAGUGUUUCUAUAGGUUUUUAGUGCUUGCGCGCUGCCGCUUAACCCCACCAUAUUGCCUAUGACGUUCCUCUUGCGUCCUCUAAGUCCCCUGCGUGCCUCAAGUACAAAGGACGACUGGUUGACGAAUGCUUAUGCGUCUUGAAGUCUUGUUAAGUACGAACCCGUACUUAUUGCUGCUUCUACGGGACAUAACCGGGCAGGUAUGAAGAUAUGUUCGAUGAAGACGACGCUAGCAAGGUUACCCUUCCGGCUUGGCCUGGGCAGGGUUAUGGACGCCACUGGUUAUCUUCAGGACUCUUAGUCCAAUUUGUAUCUUGUCCGUACUCGGACGUAUUUGAUCUUCUGUAUGAUUCGGAUCUUUGUAUUGUAUAUUUGUAUCUUGACUCGUUGGAGUCGUUGUUGUAAUAUAUUUGUUUCUUGUGGGCUCUAUUGUAAUCCUGUUGUAAUGUUACUGCUCGUGAAUGAUUCCACCCGCAUCACGUGCAUGCUUCGGCGUGUACGAGGCGCUUGGUGGUGCGUCUCCUAAAAUCGAUAUCGUGUGGAUUUCGGCGGAUUCGCUGGGAUCCUCAUGGUACCGGUUUUGGGGCGUCACAAGUUGGUAUCAGAGCAUCAGGUUGACGAUAUCCCACUAGUCCAGCCUUUAGGAUAACCUUGCCAACGGUCGUUGAGUUUAGAGUGUAAAACCUAUUUUUCUAAAAUUCGUUGGAUAGAUCUGAUUAGAUCUGUUUUUCUCCUCAUCUCUAUUCUUUCUCCUCUUACCUAUGCGAGUUUUGAGUCUGCUCUCUUGUCUGAGUUUUCCGAGUCUUAGGUCCGACGUGGGUUGGACGAUCUUUGCCCCUCACCUAUUAGGUUCGAUCUUCGGAGGAUCCAGACGGAAGCGCAUCAUCAACAGCGGAACAACGACUCCUUGUUAGUGGUGUUGACCGAACAACGUGGAGCAAGAACCCUUGUUAGUGGUGUCGAGGAGAUCGACACGCCGCUAGAAGAUUCGAUAGUUUCCCCUCUCUUCCCCCGUACCUGGACGUGGGAUCUCGGGGCGCGAUCCCUUGUUAGUGGUGUCGAUUGUAGCGGCCCAGGAAAAAUACCGCUAUUAGAUUUUUUUUGUGCCUUUUCUUUUGUGCAUAAUCAUGACAUCAUGCAUAUUUUUGAACUCCAAAAUUAUUUUAUUAAACCCUAUUUUAUUUCUAAAAUUAAACCCUCUCUUUGGAUAUCAAAAUAAAACCUUUUAAUUGUUUACAAAAUAAACUCUUAUGUGGUAUAUAAACCUCACCUCUCUCUUUAGUUAUAUAAAAACAAAUUAUUUUCAAACUAAACAAAUUGAGUUUUGUUUCCAAAAACCUGCAGGAUUUUCCAAGUUAUUUCACAAGUUCUUUCCCUCUCUUCUAUUUUAUUUUCCUGCAAACAUCUGUGAGAGAAAGAAAGAAGCAGUAGUAGAAAAAGAGAAGAGAAGCAGCAACUAGCAGCCCAUCUACAUGACCGAUCAUUUCUGCUGAAGGAAAAGCACAUCCCAUCUUCCUCACAUGAUCACGCUGGUUGACCUUGCCAACCACCCAGGUCACCUGCUCGUUUUCCCUCUCUACAUCCCCAUCGAGCCGCAGGAAAACCCUAGCCUUCUCCCUCUCGUGCCGCCGCCCUCUGCUACAACUCAUCUGCGCCUCCUCCUGCUCGAGCUGCGGCAGCCCGGCUGCCGUUCGUCCCCCGCUCGGCUUCCUCCGCCCUGGCCGACGCCUCCCCGAGCUGCGCGCGCCUCUGUCCCGACCUCAUCCGCGCGGAGCGCCUCGCCGCCGGCUCCUUCUUGCACGUCGCCCUCUCCCAGCUCGUCCUCAACCGCUGCGUCCCCGCGCCGCCAAGUCCGUCGCCGGAGCUCCUCGACUUCGCGUCUGCACCACCUCAAGCCCCGCCGUCGGCCUCGCCGUCCGCCGCCACAAGUUCUGCACGACGCCGAGCCAGCACCCACGUCCUCCUGUGUAGCGCCUUGAUCACCACCAGAUCGCUCUUAGGCUGCCUGCCUCGCUCCUCCAGCUGAAUGUCUUUCUUAAGCGUGUGCGCGUGCCCGCAAGCUGUUCGACAGCAGCUGCAGUCCAAGUCCACGCGCGCCUGGCCGCCUUGUACCUGUCGCGUUCCAUGCUCAGCAGCAGCAGCUACCAUUGACAUCAGACACGCUCCUAUUCAUCCAUCCACCUGCCUGCUUGCUUGCUUAGCUCCACACGCAUGCAACCAUCCAGCAGCCAUCCUGCUUAGCUUAGCUAGCUAAUACCAUUCUGUCACCAUGUCUGUGUAGUUUUUCCGAUCUGUCCGACCGUGUUGCCGCUUAAGAUCUUUUUCCCGGCGUCCACUACUUCGACUAUGGGGACGUCAAGAUGGUGGAGACAUGACUACUUCCGCGACCAGCGCCUCCCUGUGUGUUCACCAUAGCUUCAAGGCUCAAACUUUGUUCAGGUUCGUCAGUUGUGGUACACUGUCCAGAACUGCUUCAUUUUGGCAGCGGGUCUACUUCUGCUCAACAUCUACGUGGUAGCCAUCUGAUCCCACGCUUGGAGAAGUUCAGUCUACACGUGUGUCGUCAAUCUAAAUCAGCAUCGUCAAAGCAGCCGAGUGGCUUAAGGUCUUGAUCUCUUCCCUGAUAUUAUGGCCAGAGAUGUUUCAGUUUGCGUGGGAGCCUUUCCAAAAUCAGCACCAGCAAGCAGUCUAGCUGUUUUGUUUCCUCUCUCUCCAAACGAUACUAUACUCAAUUCCAGGGAUGCAAUUUAACAGUUGCCGCUUCAGUCAGCGAUUUGCUUCUUCACGGAUAGGCCGUCGAGUUGGUACGAGCUACGACAAGUUCUCCGGAUGUCCCUCGGCAAGCUUUAACAGGCAAG
This is a non-coding RNA of Lolium perenne, 3966 nucleotides long. NCBI's taxonomy places the organism in Eukaryota, Viridiplantae, Streptophyta, Magnoliopsida, Poales, Poaceae. The record is from RefSeq and is a predicted model, not a curated record.